AGCGAAAUUUAGUAGCGAAGUAGCUGAUUUCACACUGUCAAGAAAAGUCUCUAUCGAGGUUAAAGGUACCCGUACCGCAAACCGACACAGGUGGGUGAGGAGAGUAUCCUAAGGCCAGCGAGAGAACGGUUGUUAAGGAACUCGGCAAAAUGACCCCGUAACUUAGGGAUAAGGGGUGCCACCAUCAGGUGGCCGCAGAGAAUAGGCCCAAGCGACUGU
This 219-nucleotide ribosomal RNA is filed under the name Clostridioides difficile. RNAcentral describes it as "partial 23S ribosomal RNA". It matches the Rfam family "Bacterial large subunit ribosomal RNA", at positions 1572 to 1803 of the family's 2925-position model. Lineage: Bacteria; Bacillati; Bacillota; Clostridia; Peptostreptococcales; Peptostreptococcaceae. The record is from RNAcentral.